RNAcentral lists this ribosomal RNA (526 nucleotides) under Hadromeropsis aff. pallida AM-2018. RNAcentral's name for it is "partial 16S ribosomal RNA". It matches the Rfam family "Bacterial large subunit ribosomal RNA", at positions 1816 to 2612 of the family's 2925-position model. Lineage: Eukaryota; Metazoa; Arthropoda; Insecta; Coleoptera; Curculionidae. The record is from RNAcentral.
CAUGGCUUUUUGAGUAUAAUUUAAAGUCUGACCUGCCCAAUGAAAAUUUAAAUGGCCGCGGUAUUUUGACCGUGCAAAGGUAGCAUAAUCAUUAGUUUUUUAAUUGAAAGCUGGAAUGAAAGGUUGGAUGAGAAAAUGGCUGUCUCUAUUUAAUUUUAAUAGAAAUUUAUUUUUAAGUUAAAAAGCUUAAAUAUUAAUAAAAGACGAGAAGACCCUAUAGAGUUUUAUUAAUUUAAAUAUAAGAUUUUUAGAAUUAAUAAUCUUUUUAUUAAAAAUUAAUUUAGUUGGGGUGAUUGAAAAAUUAAAAAAACUUUUUUUAUAUAUUAACAUUAAUUUAUGAAUAUUUGAUCCUUGAUUUUAAGAUUAAAAGAAUAAAUUACCUUAGGGAUAACAGCGUAAUUUUUCUAGAGAGUUCUUAUCGAAAGAAGAGUUUGCGACCUCGAUGUUGGAUUAAAAUAAAAUUUUGGUGUAGAAGCUAAAAUAUUUAGGUCUGUUCGACCUUUAAAAUUUUACUUGAUCUGAGUUC